GCGGGGCAGGAGGUGGUGGAGCCGGCGGUUGGCAUCGCUGGAGGCAGAGGGGACCAGGAGCGGGAGAAGCCGGGGCCGGAAAGGCAAACAAAGACUGGACUUACUCAUUGAGUGCAAAACACACAACAAAGGCUGAAGGCACUUCAAGCACUCGUGGUCCAAAGAUCGGGCAGAAAAAUUCAGAUGCAUCCUCACAAAGCAUCUGGAGUCAUUUCCUGUUUGGGCUAUUAUGGCAGUCCUGCUGCAAACAUGCUUGUGGCUGUCUUUGGAAUUAUGGCAGCAGCAAGUAAGAAGGUAAUGAUCCUGAGAAUCAGCACCCAAGACCAGUGGUCAGUCCAGCAGGAAAGAGAUAAAGGUGGCAUGGGACAAGCGCCACCCUCACCUCUGGGGACCAUCCCCCAGACACCAAGCAGGAAGACGAAGCUCAGGUCACAUUCAUCAUGGCUGAACUCCAGGUCACCUGUGGUGCAGAGAAAGUGGCUGGCUCAGAUGUCCAGGCCUGUUCAGCGAGUGCAGCUAGAGCUGGAGCCGGAAGCCGGGCAGCACCAUAUGCUGGGCUUUCACCAGAUAAUCAACUCCCAAUCCCUUCUGGGGCACCGUUUGAUGAAUAUGAAAUGCUUGGAUUUUUUCCUAAGCUAACAAAGGUUGGUGGGACUUUUCAAAUCUCCCAAGUCAAGGGAUAAAAUGGUGAAAUAAAGGCAUCAUACAAAUAA
Long non-coding RNA from Homo sapiens (human), 713 nucleotides. The record is from Ensembl. Lineage: Eukaryota; Metazoa; Chordata; Mammalia; Primates; Hominidae.